RNAcentral lists this ribosomal RNA (497 nucleotides) under uncultured bacterium. Its description in RNAcentral is "partial 16S ribosomal RNA". It matches the Rfam family "Bacterial small subunit ribosomal RNA", at positions 28 to 507 of the family's 1533-position model. The record is from RNAcentral.
GAUGAACGCUGGCGGCGUGCCUAAUACAUGCAAGUCGAGCGAACAGACGAGGAGCUUGCUCCUCUGACGUUAGCGGCGGACGGGUGAGUAACACGUGGAUAACCUACCUAUAAGACUGGUAUAACUUCGGGAAACCGGAGCUAAUACCGGAUAAUAUAUUGAACCGCAUGGUUCAAUAGUGAAAGACGGUUUUGCUGUCACUUAUAGAUGGAUCCGCGCCGCAUUAGAUAGUUGGUAAGGUAACGGCUUACCAAGGCAACGAUGCGUAGCCGACCUGAGAGGGUGGUCGGCCACACUGGAACUGAGACACGGUCAAGACUCCUACGGGAGGCAGCAGUAGGGAAUCUUACGCAAUGGGCGAAAGCCUGACGGAGCAACGCCGCGUGAGUGAUGAAGGUCUUCGGAUCGUAAAACUCUGUUAUUAGGGAAGAACAAAUGUGUAAGUAACUAUGCACGUCUUGACGGUACCUAAUCAGAAAGCCACGGCUAACUACGUG